Long non-coding RNA from Stegodyphus dumicola, 598 nucleotides. The record is from RefSeq and is a predicted model, not a curated record. Lineage: Eukaryota; Metazoa; Arthropoda; Arachnida; Araneae; Eresidae.
GGAUGAUUACUUCGAUAUGCUGAGAUUGUUUUCGGAAUCGAAAUUAGAAGACAAGCAUCAAGCGUUUAUUCCAACAGGAUGGGACCCCUGUCAUUGGGUUACGCAUGUAUACGUGUUCCUUGAUGAAACAUUCGCAGAUCGUUAGAUUGGUAGGAGGUGAACCAAUUUCAUGGUCACUACAUUCUCCGCUCACACGAUUCGAUCUAUUUAUUGUUACAGCACUUGAUUUAUUUUUCAGGAUAUCUUUAUGCUGCAGAGAUUAGCGGCUUCGAAGAAUUAAAAAGUCGAAUCACUACAGAAACAGCUACUGUGACUGCGCAAAUACUUAAUAACCUCUGGAAGGAAAUCAAGAACAGACUUUAUAUUCUCCGAACAACUGAUGAUGCUCAUGUUGAAGUGUAUUAAUAUAAAAUUCUUUGAAUUGCUAAAUAAAAUUCGGAGACUUGUAAAAUGAAAAGUGCCUUCGCGAAGCCUCGAAUCUUGGAGCUCUUGAUACCCGCCGAGUGGGCUACCAUUACACCACGAAGGCAUGCUAAAAAUCUCUGGAAGGAACCAGAUUUCAACUAAAGAAACUCCUGUUUAGAUGCAGUACAGAUGA